This is a non-coding RNA of Elaeis guineensis (African oil palm), 2372 nucleotides long. The record is from RefSeq and is a predicted model, not a curated record. Lineage: Eukaryota; Viridiplantae; Streptophyta; Magnoliopsida; Arecales; Arecaceae.
GCGAUCAACCCCUUGGUCGCCGGGCUCGCGGUCUCCUUCGUUCCAAUUCCGCCAAACUUUAUUCCUCUAUGAUGGUUUCGAGACCUCCUCCUCCUCCACUCCUACCCCUCGUCCUCCCAUGUGCAAGUCCCGACUCGCCGUCAUGGCAUCCCGCCCCACCUCCCGCUCCUCCUCCAGCGUCCCCAUCACCGACUCUGGUGGCUACCCCCGCACCACCGCCUCCAACUCCUCCUCCCCCUCGGGUGCCUCGCUCGCCUCUAAGACCUCCUCCUCCGCCUCCCUCCUCGCCCUCCGCAACUCCCUCCAGGAGACCCGCGACUCCCUCCAGGAGACCCCCACCCUCUACCCCUUCUCCGAGAUUUCCGCCGCCACCAAGAACUUCGUCGCCUCCUCCUCCUCCUCCUCCCGGCCCUGCUCCCUCCGUGGCAAGGACGCCGUCGUCUUCCGGCGCCCCUUCCGUGGCGACCCCGCCGCCCUCCCUGCCCGCCUCGCUGCCGUCUGCAAGAGCCACCACAGCAGCCUCGUCCGCCUCCUCGGCGCCUCCCUUGCCGGCGGCAGCAUCUACCUCGUCUACGAGCACUCCCCCAGCGCCCCUCUCGCCGACUGCCUCCGCAACCCCCGCAACCCCAACUUCACCCCGCUCUCUUCCUGGAUGUCCCGCAUCCAGGUCGCCGCCGACCUCGCCCAGGGCCUCGAUUACAUCCACCAGCACUCCGGUACCAUCCACAACCGCAUCAAGGCCUCCAACGUCCUUGUCACCGAGCCCCACUUCCGCGCCAAGAUCUGCCACUUCGGCGCCGCGGAUCUCGCCGGCGAAAUCCUCGCCGACGCCGGCAGGGAGGAGGCGGCGGCGGACGCGGAGAUCUCUCCCUUGUCCUCUCCGUCCCCCAAGCUGAAAAGAUCGGACAGCCGCCGGAUGAAGAUCGAGGGGACGAGGGGGUACAUGGCGCCGGAGCUGCUCGCCGGCGGGAGUAUCUCGCGGCGAUCGGACGUGUACGCCCUCGGCGUGGUGCUCCUGGAGCUCCUGUCCGGCGAGGAGCCGAUCAAGUACCGGUUCGACAAGGGGCACAAUAGCCUCCACAAGGUCUCCCUCAUCGAGACGGCGAGGGAGGCGAUCGGGCCGGUGGAGGACUCCGCCGAGCAUGAGCGGCGGGGGCGGGUGCGGCGUUGGGUGGACCUGAGGCUGCGGGACUCGUACCCGGUGGAUGCGGCGGAGGACCUGAUCCGGGUAGCUCUGCGGUGCGUGGAGGAGCAGGCGGCGGCGCGCCCGGACAUGACGUUCGUCGCCGAAGAGGAGAAUGGUAGUGCUGGUUUGAAAUUUUUCAAGUGGAUUGAGAGCUUGUAAGGGAGAUCAGAUUUAUAGUGUAGAUCCACAAGUUAUCAGAAAUUCGAGAAGGAAGGCCAAGAAGGAAAAUCGAGAAGGAAAUUCAAAAAGGCUGACAAGGUCGAGGGAGAAAUUCGAGAAGACUACAAGAUCGAGGAGAAAAUUUGAAAAGACUGACAAGACCGAGAAAGAAGGCCGAAGAGGAAAUCUAACAUGACCGAGGAGGAAAUCCAACAAGACCGAGAAGGAAGGCCGAGAAGGAAAUCCGAGAAGGUCGAGAAGAAAAUUCGAGAAGAUUGAAAAUGCCAAGAAAGAUCAGUCUGAGAAGGUUAAAAAGGUCAGAAGGCCAAUAUGCAGAUCUGUAACUCUAAGAUAGAUCGUAUUUCACCACUGCGGAUCAAACAACGUCCUCCAGAUGGUCCUAUCGGAUCAGAUUUUGGCAACAACAAUUUGAUGCACCAAAAAUGACAUUCAAUAUAAGACAACAAAAGAUCCACCGUGGACUACAUCGACCUACAAUGAACAUUGAGCUACAACAAUUGAAGUCGAUCUCGGCCAACUGAGAAAGGCUUCGACUUGGUCAGAUGAGAAUCGACUUACGACACAUACGAGCUUCAACUCAGAUGAUUCGACUUGGUUGGCUAAAUACCGACCUAAUGAAAGAUACAAGCUCCGGCUCUGGAUGAUUCAAUUUGGUCGAAUUAGAUCUGACCUAAUAAAAGAUAUGAGCUCCGACUUUGGUUCUAGCUAAUCGGUUACGAAGGAGCUAAUCCUUUGGAGACCCCACAUAGCCACAUGAUGGGCCAACAUCGAUGAUGACAUUGAUUUGGUAAGAUUUACUGUCAAGGUUCAACUUAUGAUCUACUUCAAAUAUUUUGAUUUUUGAUCUAUUUUGAAUAUUUCGACUUCGAAUAUUUCAAUCUUUGAUCUACUUUAGAUAUUCUUCAGAUACUUUGAUUUCAGAUCUAUUCCUCCAAAUAGUCCUAAUCAAAUCAGAUUUUGAUAGCAACAACUCCUUUAUAUAGAAAACCUCAUUGAAAAAGAUCCA